This 473-nucleotide ribosomal RNA is filed under the name uncultured bacterium. RNAcentral describes it as "SSU rRNA". It matches the Rfam family "Bacterial small subunit ribosomal RNA", at positions 26 to 518 of the family's 1533-position model. The record is from RNAcentral.
AGGACGAACGCUGGCGGCGUGCUUAACACAUGCAAGUCGAGCGGAAAGGCCCUUCGGGGUACUCGAGCGGCGAACGGGUGAGUAACACGUGAGUAAUCUGCCCCUAGCUCUGGGAUAGCUCCGGGAAACCGGGAUUAAUACCGGAUACGACCACCUUAGACAUCUUUUGUGGUGGAAAGAAUUUCGGCUAGGGAUGAGCUCGCGGCCUAUCAGCUUGUUGGUGGGGUAACGGCCUACCAAGGCGACGACGGGUAGCCGGCCUGAGAGGGCGACCGGCCACACUGGGACUGAGACACGGCCCAGACUCCUACGGGAGGCAGCAGUGGGGAUAUUGCGCAAUGGGCGAAAGCCUGACGCAGCGACGCCGCGUGGGGGAUGAAGGCCUUCGGGUUGUAAACCCCUUUCAGCAGGGACGAAGCGAAAGUGACGGUACCUGCAGAAGAAGCGCCGGCUAACUACGCGCCAGCAGCCGC